UGACUCUGAGGGCAGUCAUUCAACCUGCUGAACUCAAACCAAAAGACUUGACGAUAGUGCUAACCCUUUCAGCAAAAGUUCUGGAUGUUAUCUUCUUGCCAGGAACAUGAAAUGGAUUUGAUACAGCAUCAACAUAUGCGGCAUGAAAUUUCCUGAAAAACUGUAAAUAAUUUCCACCAAAAAGCUUAAGCAAGCUGCUAUGCUAAAGGCUGAAUAUCACAUACAUCACAGCAUCAACAUAUGCAGCAUGAAAUUUUCUGAAAAACUGUAAAUAAUUUCCACUAAAAAGAUUAAGCAAGCUGUUAUGCUAAAGGCUGAAUAUCAUAUAUCACACCAAAGAACAUCUGAAACUUAAUGUGCUUCAUCAGUGUUUCUUCAACAUAAAGCCAUUGCUAUCGUUCAAACAAAGUAUUCCCAAUUUCCCUCAUCCCAAUUUUCAUGUAGACGUACUAUUUAACCAAAUUGCAGGAUAUAUCUUGUUUGCAGUUUUCAUUCAUGAUGAUAACAGUGCUUUUGUGUUUUACAUUGGGAGACUGGAUAGCCAUUCUUUUCGUGGCAUAAAAUACAUUGAUGUCUAACGAGGGACCACCUUACUGUGGAAGACUGACCCUUGGGCAAAAUACAAACUGGUAUUGCUAUUUCUGCAACCUAUCACGCUAGCAACCUGGGACACUAGAAUGUCUUAGCAGUUCAGAUAUGAGUAAACUUUAGUUCUACAUUUUUCUACGUAACUUUUUCCUAAGUGUACUUAUUUGUACAGAUGUGAUAACAAUAAUAUUCUAUCAUUGCUUCACCGUGUUAAACAUAGGAGCUAUGUCUUCACCCUUUACAUGAAAGUUUUCCAAUUUGAGGAAAUAGCUAAUGUUUAUAUUGCCCUUAAAAAAUAGAAAUAGCUAAUGUCUAGAUGAAGAU
Molecule: long non-coding RNA, 912 nt
Filed under: Nicotiana benthamiana
Lineage: Eukaryota; Viridiplantae; Streptophyta; Magnoliopsida; Solanales; Solanaceae
Description: long non-coding RNA (NBEN_LNC021592)
Source: RNAcentral